UACGGGUCCUACUCCUACGGGAGGCMGCAGUGCGGAAUUUUAGAUAAUGGAGGCAACUCUGAUCUAGCGACGCCGCGUGCAGGAAGAAGGUCUUCGGAUUGUAAACUGCUGUGGUAAGGGAAAAAUGYCAUGUAGAGUGGAAAGCUACAUGGAGGGAUGGUACYUUACUAGAAAGCCCCGGCUAACUACGUGCCAGCAGCCGCGGUAAUACGUAGGGGGCRAGCGUUACCCGGAAUCACUGGGCGUAAAGGGAGCGUAGGUGGCCUGACAUGUCRACUGUGAAAACCCGGAGCUCAACUCCGGACUUGCAGUUGAAACUGCCAGGCUUGAGGACGGUAGAGGAAGACGGAACUGCCAGUGUAGGGGUAAAAUCCUUAGAUAUUGGCAGGAACGCCGGUGACGAAGGUGGUUUUCUGGGCCGGUUCUGACACUGAUGCUCGAAAGCCAGGGGAGCGAACGGGAUUARAUACCCCGGUAGUC
Molecule: ribosomal RNA, 480 nt
Filed under: uncultured Thermotogales bacterium
Lineage: Bacteria; Thermotogati; Thermotogota; Thermotogae; Thermotogales
Description: bacterial SSU rRNA
Rfam family: Bacterial small subunit ribosomal RNA
Source: RNAcentral